This 465-nucleotide long non-coding RNA is filed under the name Mytilus galloprovincialis (Mediterranean mussel). The record is from RNAcentral. Lineage: Eukaryota; Metazoa; Mollusca; Bivalvia; Mytilida; Mytilidae.
GUGUUAACAGUUUAUUUCUAUGUUUAUCAUAUCAUGAUGAGAUCUUACCAUUUCACAUUUAGUCACAAGUGGCAUUUUAUACCAGACUAUUCAAUAUGGGUAUUGCUCAUUGAUAAAUGACAUACAGAGACCUAUAGUGGCUCACAUCCUUGUCAUUUGGACUGGUUGAUAGUUGUCUCAUUGAAUAUUAUACCAAACCUUAUUUAUAAAUUGGUCAUAUCAUGACAGCAUUAUUGUAAUAUAAUGUUCAGCAGUUCUUGAUUAGAAUUUAAACCAAUAAUAAGUUCAAAAUAUUAAAUAUAGUUUUUGGCAUGGGUACUUUAUCAACCAUACUAUUCCAAAAGUAUACAUGACACAUCAGUUGCACCAUCUAUUUGAAGAAAUGUUUCUGCAAAGUUUCAUCCUAUUCACUUCAGUAGUUCAUACUCUUAAACAAGAGCGCUCACACUGAAAUGUCUCACCUGC